RNAcentral lists this ribosomal RNA (651 nucleotides) under Escherichia coli. Its description in RNAcentral is "partial 23S ribosomal RNA". It matches the Rfam family "Bacterial large subunit ribosomal RNA", at positions 612 to 1262 of the family's 2925-position model. Lineage: Bacteria; Pseudomonadati; Pseudomonadota; Gammaproteobacteria; Enterobacterales; Enterobacteriaceae. The record is from RNAcentral.
AUAAUGGGUCAGCGACUUAUAUUCUGUAGCAAGGUUAACCGAAUAGGGGAGCCGAAGGGAAACCGAGUCUUAACUGGGCGUUAAGUUGCAGGGUAUAGACCCGAAACCCGGUGAUCUAGCCAUGGGCAGGUUGAAGGUUGGGUAACACUAACUGGAGGACCGAACCGACUAAUGUUGAAAAAUUAGCGGAUGACUUGUGGCUGGGGGUGAAAGGCCAAUCAAACCGGGAGAUAGCUGGUUCUCCCCGAAAGCUAUUUAGGUAGCGCCUCGUGAAUUCAUCUCCGGGGGUAGAGCACUGUUUCGGCAAGGGGGUCAUCCCGACUUACCAACCCGAUGCAAACUGCGAAUACCGGAGAAUGUUAUCACGGGAGACACACGGCGGGUGCUAACGUCCGUCGUGAAGAGGGAAACAACCCAGACCGCCAGCUAAGGUCCCAAAGUCAUGGUUAAGUGGGAAACGAUGUGGGAAGGCCCAGACAGCCAGGAUGUUGGCUUAGAAGCAGCCAUCAUUUAAAGAAAGCGUAAUAGCUCACUGGUCGAGUCGGCCUGCGCGGAAGAUGUAACGGGGCUAAACCAUGCACCGAAGCUGCGGCAGCGACGCUUAUGCGUUGUUGGGUAGGGGAGCGUUCUGUAAGCCUGCGAAGGUGUGCU